Molecule: ribosomal RNA, 253 nt
Filed under: uncultured bacterium
Lineage: Bacteria
Description: partial 16S ribosomal RNA
Rfam family: Bacterial small subunit ribosomal RNA
Source: RNAcentral
UACAGAGGGGGCAAGCGUUGUUCGGAAUUACUGGGCGUAAAGGGCGCGUAGGCGGCCUUCUAAGUCGAACGUGAAAUCCCUGGGCUCAACCCAGGAACUGCGUCCGAUACUGGAAGGCUUGAAUCCGGGAGAGGGAUGCGGAAUUCCAGGUGUAGCGGUGAAAUGCGUAGAUAUCUGGAGGAACACCGGUGGCGAAGGCGGCAUCCUGGACCGGCAUUGACGCUGAGGUGCGAAAGCCAGGGGAGCAAACGGG